This is a long non-coding RNA of Mus musculus (house mouse), 712 nucleotides long. RefSeq annotates it as predicted gene, 38619. The record is from RefSeq and is a predicted model, not a curated record. Lineage: Eukaryota; Metazoa; Chordata; Mammalia; Rodentia; Muridae. The transcript has 3 exons.
AGUCAUCUCCACACCCUGACAACAUUCACACCUGCUCAGACACCGCCGGCCUUAGACAGGCUACCACUUUCAGCUCUCUCGGCUGUCCUGUGUCACAGACAGAAACAGAGCCUUCCAAAGGAUGACAAUCUGGGCCUGAAACUUCUUCCUGGAGGUCCACAUUCCUGCAGGUUCUUGGGCCCUGCUGACUGAAGUUCCUCCAAACUACUGUAAGAAAACAAGCUUUAUCCAGGAGCAGGAAAACUGAACAAAGGAGGUUUCAGCCUUUCUUUCUGAACCCUGACUAAAUAGGAUGAAGUUCCCAUUUCCACUGUUUCAGUCUCUUCUGCAAACCGAGGUGCCUGCCUUUGGUCCCACACCACCCCUCCUACUGCAAUGUAAACGGAAAUGCUGAUUUGAUGAGCUUUGUCUACACCCUGGUCUAUGGAAACCUGCACUUGGCUGAACCAGAUAUACUCAAAACGUGUGUGCUGCUUAUGAGAGCACCACCCACAUUUCAAAAGUCCACAGCAGCUGGGACAGAGUCACCUCACAGCUGGAAACACAGACACUUGGAAGGCUCUGCUUGGACAGAGACGGUGAAGGUCAUUUCUAACCACAGAAGAUUGGCCACACUGCCGUGAGACUAAGACCACCAUAGUAUAUCCUAUCCUGCUUAUUCAGGGCCUACUGUGGUUGAAUGAAAAUAUACAUGGAUGUAAUUGUGUAUGUA